RNAcentral lists this transfer RNA (75 nucleotides) under Parasphingopyxis lamellibrachiae. RNAcentral describes it as "Sphingopyxis sp. JAMH 0132 tRNA". It matches the Rfam family "tRNA". Rfam says of the family: Transfer RNA (tRNA) molecules are approximately 80 nucleotides in length. The record is from Rfam by way of RNAcentral. Lineage: Bacteria; Pseudomonadati; Pseudomonadota; Alphaproteobacteria; Sphingomonadales; Parasphingopyxidaceae.
GGGCCGGUAGCUCAGCCUGGUUAGAGCGCACGCCUGAUAAGCGUGAGGUCGGAAGUUCAAGUCUUCCUCGGCCCA